UAGGGAAUCUUCCACAAUGGACGAAAGUCUGAUGGAGCAACGCCGCGUGGGUGAAGAAGGGUUUCGGCUCGUAAAACUCUGUUGUUAAAGAAGAACAUAUCUGAGAGUAACUGUUCAAGUAUUGACGGUAUUUAACCAGAAAGCCACGGCUAACUACGUGCCAA
Molecule: ribosomal RNA, 164 nt
Filed under: uncultured bacterium
Lineage: Bacteria
Description: partial 16S rRNA
Rfam family: Bacterial small subunit ribosomal RNA
Source: RNAcentral